This 77-nucleotide transfer RNA is filed under the name Desulfovibrionaceae bacterium. RNAcentral's name for it is "tRNA-Gln". It matches the Rfam family "tRNA". From Rfam's summary of the family: Transfer RNA (tRNA) molecules are approximately 80 nucleotides in length. Their secondary structure includes four short double-helical elements and three loops (D, anti-codon, and T loops). Further hydrogen bonds mediate the characteristic L-shaped molecular structure. tRNAs have two regions of fundamental functional importance: the anti-codon, which is responsible for specific mRNA codon recognition, and the 3' end, to which the tRNAs corresponding amino acid is attached (by aminoacyl-tRNA synthetases). tRNAs cope with the degeneracy of the genetic code in two manners: having more than one tRNA (with a specific anti-codon) for a particular amino acid; and 'wobble' base-pairing, i.e. permitting non-standard base-pairing at the 3rd anti-codon position. Lineage: Bacteria; Pseudomonadati; Thermodesulfobacteriota; Desulfovibrionia; Desulfovibrionales; Desulfovibrionaceae. The record is from RNAcentral.
UGGGGUGUAGCCAAGGCAGGCAAGGCAACGGGUUUUGGUCCCGUCAUUCGAGGGUUCGAAUCCUUCCGCCCCAGCCA